RNAcentral lists this ribosomal RNA (454 nucleotides) under uncultured bacterium. RNAcentral's name for it is "bacterial SSU rRNA". It matches the Rfam family "Bacterial small subunit ribosomal RNA", at positions 1 to 507 of the family's 1533-position model. The record is from RNAcentral.
AGUAGUUUGAUCAUGGCUCAGAACGAACGCUGGCGGCAUGCCUAACACAUGCAAGUCGAACGAACCCUUCGGGGUUAGUGGCGCACGGGUGCGUAACACGUGGGAAUCUGCCCUUUGCUUCGGAAUAACAGUUAGAAAUGACUGCUAAUACCGGAUGAUGUCGUAAGACCAAAGAUUUAUCGGCAAAGGAUGAGCCCGCGUAGGAUUAGGUAGUUGGUGGGGUAAAGGCCUACCAAGCCGACGAUCCUUAGCUGGUCUGAGAGGAUGAUCAGCCACACUGGGACUGAGACACGGCCCAGACUCCUACGGGAGGCAGCAGCGGGGAAUAUUGGACAAUGGGCGAAAGCCUGAUCCAGCAAUGCCGCGUGAGUGAUGAAGGCCUUCGGGUUGUAAAGCUCUUUUACCAGGGAUGAUAAUGACAGUACCUGGAGAAUAAGCUCCGGCUAACUCCGUG